UAGGGAAUCUUCGGCAAUGGGGGGAACCCUGACCGAGCAACGCCGCGUGAGUGAAGAAGGUUUUCGGAUCGUAAAGCUCUGUUGUUAAGGAAGAACGAGUGUGAGAAUGGAAAGUUCAUACUGUGACGGUACUUAACCAGAAAGGGACGGCUAACUACGUGCCAGCAGCCGCGGUAAUACGUAGGUCCCGAGCGUUGUCCGGAUUUAUUGGGCGUAAAGCGAGCGCAGGCGGUUAGAUAAGUCUGAAGUUAAAGGCAGUGGCUCAACCAUUGUAGGCUUUGGAAACUGUUUAACUUGAGUGCAGAAGGGGAGAGUGGAAUUCCAUUUGUAGCGGUGAAAUGCGUAGAUAUAUGGAGGAACACCGGUGGCGAAAGCGGCUCUCUGGUCUGUAACUGACGCUGAGGCUCGAAAGCGUGGGGAGCGAACAG
Molecule: ribosomal RNA, 428 nt
Filed under: Bacteroidota bacterium
Lineage: Bacteria; Pseudomonadati; Bacteroidota
Description: Bacteroidetes bacterium partial 16S ribosomal RNA
Rfam family: Bacterial small subunit ribosomal RNA
Source: RNAcentral